This is a long non-coding RNA of Anolis carolinensis (green anole), 1584 nucleotides long. RefSeq lists it as uncharacterized. Lineage: Eukaryota; Metazoa; Chordata; Lepidosauria; Squamata; Anolidae. The transcript has 3 exons. The record is from RefSeq and is a predicted model, not a curated record.
AAUAUACCAUUUGGAGCUCUUUAUAAACUCUUCCUGUGAGUGCAGAACUCUCUUUUUCCUGCAGGUGCUAUGCGCUCUGGGAAGGAUCACUUGUUCUAUGACAUCAAAGCAGAUCUGGAAGUCUUCGAAUAUUACGAGAUAAACAUGAGUCAAUUGUGUGGUGUGACAGCUAAAAUGGCAAUGCAACUAUGGGCUGCAUCAGCAAGAAUCCAGACAGAAGAAGAUGCAGGGAAAGUGGAUGGAUUGCUUCGUGACUAGAAAGAAGAGUUUACCUGAUUUCCUAGUUUGCAGAGGAAGCAUCCAUAACUACGGCAGCAGAUAAAACAUUUGUUUCUACCCACACAUAUCAAAUGGCAAAUCAAAGCUAUUUUGGGCACAGAGGUUAAAAAAAACUGGAGCAACCCACAAGCUGCUCUCCAUAUACUUGGUCGUAAAUUCCUUACGAAGAACAUAAAUAAAUAAUUAACAAUCUGGUUCCCUUUCAUCAUCCCCAACAUAGUUGCUUGAGGUAGCUACCUAACUCUUCCUAUUGAUAGAGCUGGCCAUUGAAAAUAAGAUAUCAUGGUAGCACAAUAGUGACAAAUCCGUGUUGAAAGAAAAGAAGCUAACAGUACAGUUAAGAAUUCUGUAAACGAUCAACAUUCACUGAAACUUUUCAUUGACUUGGACAAGCUGGCCUUCCCCAUAUAUGGUCCUCUUCACUGCUAUUUCUGCUUAGAGUGCCAUUUCUCACCUGUUGUUUACAAUGCCUCUUUGUGUGAGGAGACAAUAAAGAAUACAUCCUUCUUUUAUAACUUAUUUACCAAACUUAACUGUGAAAUCCUUACCCUGAUGGGCAAUGAGCAGCAUUUAAAGACGCACAUGCUUCAUUUUGCCAAGGUGUUUCUCCUGCAAAAUAAAACAGACAUGUAACAUUUAUAUUUUAAAUGCAGACAUUUAAAUUGGGUGGAGAUAUAGGAGGCUUCCCAGUGCAUUUAUAUAGGAGGCUUCCAGGUGCAUUUAAGGCCCUUCCACACAGCCAUAUAAUCCAGAAUAUCAAGGCAGAUAAUCCACAAUAUCGGCUGGGUUAUCUAAGUACACACUGCCAUAUAAUCUGGUUCAAUGUGGAUUUCAUGGGGCCCCAGUUUCUCUCUACAUCUGGAGGGUGAUAAGAUUGGUGAAAAAGGGAAGGCAUAACUGGUACACUAAUCCCAAUUCUUAUCCUCAGAUACAGAGUCUACGCUCUUUCCCCAAAGAAGGCCAAACAUUAUCUUUCCAUGUUUCUAAUUAACUGUCUGAUACAAAACUCCCUCCUAUAUGGUCAGACUUACACAUUUGCAAAUUGGAAGUAGAUUCAUUUUCACAAACAAGUUAUAGUAUGACUCCCAUAUCCACAGAGAAUAUAUUCCAGAACUUUGCACGGAUAUGUAAAACCAUGGACUUCUGGCCCAAGAAUACCAUAGAGUUGUUCUGGAGGACUUAGAAAAUGCCUACAGGGGAUACAUUUUGUUGGACAUGACUAAAUGAAACCAUAGGUGCCAGCUCCAUGGAUAUAGGGGUUGUACUGCACUUCCAUUUGGGGAUUCAGGAACAUGACAGAAACGG